UCGACGAUUGGUGUAUUUAUUAGAUUAAAAGCCAACGCCCUUCGGGGCUCUUUGGUGAUUCAUAAUAACUGGUCGAAUCGCAUGGCCUUGCGCCGGCGAUGGUUCAUUCAAAUUUCUUCCCUAUCAACUUUCGAUGCGAGGGUCUUGUCCUCGCAUGGUUGCAACGGGUAACGGAGGGUUAGGGCUCGACCCCGGAGAAGGAGCCUGAGAAACGGCUACUACAUCCAAGGAAGGCAGCAGGCGCGCAAAUUACCCAAUCCCGACACGGGGAGGUAGUGACAAUAAAUACUGAUACAGGGCUCUUUUGGGUCUUGUAAUCGGAAUGAGUACAAUUUAAAUCCCUUAACGAGGAACAAUUGGAGGGCAAGUCUGGUGCCAGCAAAUC
RNAcentral lists this ribosomal RNA (385 nucleotides) under uncultured Doratomyces. Its description in RNAcentral is "SSU rRNA". It matches the Rfam family "Eukaryotic small subunit ribosomal RNA", at positions 191 to 575 of the family's 1831-position model. The record is from RNAcentral. Lineage: Eukaryota; Fungi; Ascomycota; Sordariomycetes; Microascales.